Molecule: ribosomal RNA, 765 nt
Filed under: uncultured Streptococcus sp.
Lineage: Bacteria; Bacillati; Bacillota; Bacilli; Lactobacillales; Streptococcaceae
Description: bacterial SSU rRNA
Rfam family: Bacterial small subunit ribosomal RNA
Source: RNAcentral
GACGAACGCUGGCGGCGUGCCUAAUACAUGCAAGUAGAACGCUGAAGAGAGGAGCUUGCUCUUCUUGGAAGAGUUGCGAACGGGUGAGUAACGCGUAGGUAACCUGCCUUGUAGCGGGGGAUAACUAUUGGAAACGAUAGCUAAUACCGCAUAACAAUGGGUGACCCAUGUCAUUCAUUUGAAAGGGGCAACUGCUCCACUACAAGAUGGACCUGCGUUGUAUUAGCUAGUAGGUGAGGUAACGGCUCACCUAGGCGACGAUACAUAGCCGACCUGAGAGGGUGAUCGGCCACACUGGGACUGAGACACAGCCCAGACUCCUACGGGAGGCAGCAGUAGGGAAUCUUCGGCAAUGGGGGCAACCCUGACCGAGCAACGCCGCGUGAGUGAAGAAGGUUUUCGGAUCGUAAAGCUCUGUUGUAAGUCAAGAACGAGUGUGAGAGUGGAAAGUUCACACUGUGACGGUAGCUUACCAGAAAGGGACGGCUAACUACGUGCCAGCAGCCGCGGUAAUACGUAGGUCCCGAGCGUUGUCCGGAUUUAUUGGGCGUAAAGCGAGCGCAGGCGGUUUGAUAAGUCUGAAGUUAAAGGCUGUGGCUCAACCAUAGUUCGCUUUGGAAACUGUCAAACUUGAGUGCAGAAGGGGAGAGUGGAAUUCCAUGUGUAGCGGUGAAAUGCGUAGAUAUAUGGAGGAACACCGGUGGCGAAAGCGGCUCUCUGGUCUGUAACUGACGCUGAGGCUCGAAAGCGUGGGGAGCGAACAGG